This 766-nucleotide long non-coding RNA is filed under the name Equus caballus (horse). RNAcentral describes it as "lncRNA (ENSECAG00000043468.2)". The record is from RNAcentral. Lineage: Eukaryota; Metazoa; Chordata; Mammalia; Perissodactyla; Equidae.
CACUGGAAUUCAAGACCAAUGCCCUAUCACUGAAGCUGAGUAGUUUUGCAAAUUCACACCAUGGCGAUGCAGUACUCCUCGACUGACAGACCUCUUCUUCCUGGGCGUGGGUGUCCCUGAGCCUUCCAGAUCCCUGUAUCAGCAGAGCUUCUGAACAACGCGCUGACCAGGCCUUUAAAGGAAAAGUCAUCAAAACCCAGGAAAAUCUAAGAAACCGUCACAGCCAACAGGAGCCUGAGGAAACAUGACAGCUAAACAUAAUGUGGUAUUCUAGAUGGAAUCCUGGAAUAGAAAAAGGACAUCAGAAAGAGCUUCAUAGAAAGGAAACUGAGGCAGUGUUGGGGCAAGAAUCCUCUUUGUGGUGAUUUCUUAGCACAGAGCCAUUGAAACGUUUGCAAAAUAGCAAAGGGUUCCAGAUGGGAGGGGCCGCUGUUCAAAAUCCAGACCACCCAACGGGCACAUCAGACUCAUAGAACGUUAUCCAAGAUGGGAGAGAGAACGCCAGGAAAAGGAUCCACCCAGAGCAGCACCGUGGAUGCUGUUUGGGCGCACACAUACCGCCUGGGAUCCUGUGAAAAUGCAGAUUCUGAAUCAGCAGGUCUAGGGCGGGGCCCAAGAACCUGCACUUCUGAAAAGCAAUCAAGGAGUGGACAACUCUUUGAGGGGCAGGGAUCCAGAUUCAAUGUUGUUCGACCGUUUCCAUUUUGCAGCACAUCUGUAAAUUUGCCCAAGUUACAGAAAAUAUAGUCCAAACAGAUGAUCAGGG